Molecule: RNA transcript, 2087 nt
Organism: Ooceraea biroi (clonal raider ant)
Lineage: Eukaryota; Metazoa; Arthropoda; Insecta; Hymenoptera; Formicidae
Source: RefSeq, a predicted model, not a curated record
CUCACGUAUAGGCGGUGAGAGCGUGUGACCAUUCUGUUUCUUUGUAUUGUCACACGUACUUUGGGACAGCAUUAAAGCGAAGCACGUAAUCUUUUUCUCUCGGUUUUAUGUCUCGCGUAGAGGAUGGAAGAUCGCCGCGACUCCCACCAUCUGUCGCGCUCCAUACUCUUCUCGCGCCAUUUCUCUACCGACAGGCUCUACCUUUAGAAAGCUCAAGCUCCUCUAACUUAUCGACCCUAUCGUUAUGUGUUAGUCACACGGAUAUACGGACAGCAUAUCCGCCGUUCGGUGACUAAUGUAGAAAAUAAAUUUGAAGAAAGAGAUUUGACGAAUGCGACAGUAUUGAAUACAAUGAAUACAAUGAAUGCUAGAAAAUGUGAAAAUGAAGAAUCGAAAAGUGCCGGUAACGAUAAUAUACCAAAUCAGGUAGAAUCACAAUUGGAAACGGGAAGUGUAUAUUCGAAUGAAGCAGGGAAUCUUCAAAAUUUUUACGAUACAAAGAAUCAGAAUAUGAACCAAAACACGCCGAAUACGAAAAAUAAAAGAAAAGCGUCGGAGAGUCCGUUGUUUGAGAACAUAACAAUGAAGAAAAACAAAGACAGGUUCCUACAAUGCGAAGAUGCAGCUCAGCAGAUCAUAGAUUCAAAGAGAAAGAAGAAUCUCAGCAUAAGUAGCGAAUACGACGUGUUCAAAUGGGAUUUAGAGGCCAUGGAGAAUUUUCAGAAGUUUGGAGACAUUGAGUUGGCACAUGAUUUAGACACUGUGGAAAUUGAUGACAGCAUCAUGAAAACGAGCAUCAAUAAGGAUCCACUAACAAAUCCCUUUUUUAUCAGUAAUCGUGAACAAAAGGAUAUUAAUAUGACAGAAUCCAAAGCAAAAUCUCCACCGAAAGAGAAAGUACAAAGAAGAAAAUCGGCUCGUCUUGCCAGCAAACAGAAUGAGACCAAUAAUGUUUCUAAUCUUUUUAUGAAGCAAGAAUGUCAUCUAGAAAAAGAGGAUUCCUUGGAAGAAUUGGAAGAUAUAAAACAAGAAGAAGAAGAGGAAUUAUCACCAAGUAUGAAACAGAAACUGCAAGAGUUACAUAUAACAUUAAUACAUGAGGUACCUCGGCAGCAUCAAUUAGAGCUUACUGGAGCUCAUGCACCAUCAAGACAGAUUAGAAACUUAUUUCAGGAAUAUGGACCGCUCCGAAAAGGUCCAUAUUCGCCUGCGGAAGACAAAAUUAUUAAGAAAAACUGGGAAAUGUUUUGUGAGCUUCACGAGUGGGAUCCCAAGAAUGUCGAAUUGUUUUUUUACUGGAGAUAUAAUAGAAUGUAUUAUAUAAAAAAUGUAAGCGAAAGACAAAAAUUCGUUCAAUUUCUGGCAAAUGGAUUACCUUGGCGACUCUGUAUAGCGUCCAUAACAGAUUUAAAAUAUUAUACCAAAUAAAAUCACUAACGUUAGAUAUACUUCAAAGGAGGAUAUAAAGAUUCUAACAUAUAUGAAAAAUAAACGUUUUCACAAACGUGCUGUUAAAUAUAUCGAAUUAGCGCUUACAUUACUAGGACGAACGGUACGGUCAGUCCGCAAACGUCAUCAAAAACUCAAAUCUAAGGCGAAACCGUUACAAAAUGUCACAUGGACAUUGCCAUUGAUCAAAAAGUUCAUAAAAACUUUGCUCAACGUUACGUUGAGUGAGGAUAUAAAAGAACUUAAAUGCGCUACUAUUCCCAAGCCAGUAUGGCAGAAAAUGGAACAGAAAUUAGAUAUACAAGAAAAUGUGCUGAAACAUUUUGGCAAAACCAGUUGCAUCUGCAGUUGUUCAGUACAAGUCCUAUCUAUUUGAACGACAUUAAGAUACAGCUAAUUGAAUAGUAUCAUGUACAUAAAGGGAUAUCGCACACUCGUAAAAUUAUAUGGCCCAAUGUUGCUCAAUAUUUUGAAGGGGCAACUGCCGAGUUUCUUUGUAAAGUUUUCUAUUAUCUUAUCAAGAAUGUGACUUGAAUGACUUUGAUAAUUUGACGAUUGUGGAAUACUUAUAUCAUAAAAAAUACCUGAAAUCCAAAAAAUGCAACAGACAAAUUUUUACUAGAUUUUUACGAAAGUAA